This 1488-nucleotide long non-coding RNA is filed under the name Homo sapiens (human). RNAcentral's name for it is "HSALNT0378056". Lineage: Eukaryota; Metazoa; Chordata; Mammalia; Primates; Hominidae. The record is from RNAcentral.
AAAAAAAAAAAAAAAAAAAAAGAAAAGAAAAGAGAAACAUGGCAGCAAGAGAAUGAAUAAAUGCAGGCCACCUGGCUCAGAGCCGCAGGACUUGAAUUCAGAUCCCAGCCCCCUGGCUGACCUCCCUGUGUAAGUUCUACUGACCUAAUCCAUAAAGGAGGGGAGGGAUGAGUUCAUCGCUGGGAUUCCUUCCAGCCCCCAAACUCAAUAUUUUGUAUCCACAUAGGAAAAAGAAAGAAUAUUUAUGCAGUCGUCCCACUGAACUGGAGCAGGGAAGAAACCUGCCUGGAUGAUUCAGGCUCACAUACACAAUCAUCUCCAAAUAUGCUUCCCUUCUGUCAAAUGCCAUCUCCUAAAUAUCACCAGAGCAACCUGCGGAGAAGGCAAGGCUGAGUUGAUUGUUCACCGUGGUAAGAUAAUGCUGAAAUUAACAUCUUUGGAUAUACAAUUCUCUGCUUCUGAAGAAUGAAAAGAUAAAUAACAGAGCUAAGAAAGGGACUGAUGAAACUUACAACAGCAGGUCUCAAAUUUUUGGUCUCAGGACCCCUUUAUGCUCUUAAAAAUGAUUGACAGCCUCCAAGAGCUUUUGUUCAUGCUUUGGUAAGGCUGUGAGAGCACAGAGCUGAAUUAGGGAUCUUGGACUUCAAGUUACUGACUAGCCCCAGCACUCGCCAAGCUCACAAAGAAGACAGAAACGAGGUAAACAUCCAACCAUGUUUAUGGAAGAGUUCAUCUCUCUGUCAGCAUUACGUACAUGCAGAAAGGUGUAAAAAAUCAUAACAGCGCUGUUUGCAUUUUUCAGAAACGGAACACACCUAUAUUAUGUCUCUUUUUAAGGAGGUUUUUGGGUGGCUUUUGUUUAGAGGCAGAGUAGAAUAAUAGAAAAACAACCUGGGGUUUACCUUUAGGACUCUCUCUCUCUCUCUUCUGUAAAUGUAAGGUUCGGCAAAAAAAUUCAUUAAACUUUUGUCCACCUUUAACAUUCUAUGAGUUUUAAUGUGUUUGGAAGCUUUGGAAGAUUGGAUUGCUAGAGUACUGGUCAGGAUCAUUUCUGUAUUUAAUAAAAUUGGGAGAGCUAGCGAAUAAAGCAGGAAGCCUGCCAUCUAGUGGCAAAUGUGUACAUUGCUCUUUUGCUUGGACUCGGGCUGAGUUUUCAGAACCAGAGUCCUUUUCUUCUGGCCCCCACCUUCCUUAAUUACAGGGGUUUUAAUUGCGCCACAGUUAGACAAUACUUAAUUGUCUUAGCUACAUUGUAAUGAGUGAAGGGAAUACACUUGUGAUUUGGCUGAACGCAGGAGAGAGAGGCCCCUUGCAUUCAUAGUUAAUUGCUUCAAAACUCUGCCUGCGGCUUUGCCAUGCCCUCAUUCGCACUUUGGGCUAAAAUUAUAAGGAUCCAUUAGAUACUGUCUCUGCCUCCAGACUUCAGGCUGCAGGGAGGGGGACGCCAGCUGGAGUUUUUUUCUGACAGCUUAUUUAUUUAUUUUUCAG